Long non-coding RNA from Anguilla rostrata (American eel), 260 nucleotides. RefSeq lists it as uncharacterized. The transcript is spliced from 2 exons. The record is from RefSeq and is a predicted model, not a curated record. NCBI's taxonomy places the organism in Eukaryota, Metazoa, Chordata, Actinopteri, Anguilliformes, Anguillidae.
GGUCCCGUCUUUUCUCCUCAAACAGGUGAAAGUAAAAUUAAGAAAAAACGAAUGAAAUGCGUGAUCCAUGAGUCAGUCCAAGCAGAGGAAGAACCAGGUGAGUCUUUUAGGGGUUGUUUCUACAGGUGCGCCUUUUAGGGGUUGUUUCUACAGGUGAGCCUUUUAGGGGUUGAUUCUACAGGUGAGCCUUUUAGGGGUCGAUUCUACAGGUGAGCCUUUUAGGGGUCGAUUCUACAGGUGAGCCUUUUAGGGGUCGUUUC